UACGAAGGGGGCUAGCGUUGUUCGGAAUUACUGGGCGUAAAGCGCGCGCAGGCGGUCUUCCAAGUCAGUGGUGAAAGCCCGGAGCUCAACUCCGGAACUGCCAUUGAAACUGUAAGACUUGAGGAUGAGAGAGGUGAGUGGAAUUCCCAGUGUAGAGGUGAAAUUCGUAGAUAUGGGGAGGAACACCGGUGGCGAAGGCGACCAUCUGGACGGAUACUGACGCUGAGACGCGAAAGCGUGGGUAGCAAACAGG
This 253-nucleotide ribosomal RNA is filed under the name uncultured bacterium. RNAcentral describes it as "partial 16S ribosomal RNA". It matches the Rfam family "Bacterial small subunit ribosomal RNA", at positions 524 to 776 of the family's 1533-position model. The record is from RNAcentral.